This 253-nucleotide ribosomal RNA is filed under the name uncultured bacterium. RNAcentral describes it as "partial 16S ribosomal RNA". It matches the Rfam family "Bacterial small subunit ribosomal RNA", at positions 524 to 776 of the family's 1533-position model. The record is from RNAcentral.
UACGGAGGGUGCAAGCGUUGUUCGGAAUCACUGGGCGUAAAGGGCGUGUAGGCGGUCCGCUAAGUCUGAUGUGAAAGCCCGAGGCUUACCCUCGGAAGUGCAUUGGAGGCUGGCGGACUGGAGUCCCGGAGAGGAGGGUGGAAUUCCUGGUGUAGCGGUGAAAUGCGUAGAUAUCAGGAGGAACACCGGUGGCGAAGGCGGCCCUCUGGACGGUGACUGACGCUGAGACGCGAAAGCGUGGGGAGCAAACAGG